This 1620-nucleotide long non-coding RNA is filed under the name Oryctolagus cuniculus (rabbit). Its description in RNAcentral is "lncRNA (ENSOCUG00000037794.1)". Lineage: Eukaryota; Metazoa; Chordata; Mammalia; Lagomorpha; Leporidae. The record is from RNAcentral.
AUGGGAUCCAGAACAAUCUCACCAGGCCCCGUGAACGCAAGCCCACCGUGGAAACGCGGACAGGGCUCCCGGAACAGGAAGCAAAGUCCUGGUCGACCCAGGAAGCUGACCCUUUGGCCAGGGGUCUGGCGAUGGCCCUGGGCAACACGUGGCCCCGGAAAGGGGUCCUGGGCAUUCAGAAUGCUGCCAUCAGCGAAACCCCUCAGAACGCCUCUUCCGGGGAAGACAGGAUGCUGGGGUGAUGCGAAAUCAGAGCACACCUCACCCUGCACACACACACACACACACACAUUCUUACAUGCUCACACACUCACAUUCACACACUCACACAAGGCUGUCGCACACUCACAGGCUCUCCCACACACACACACACAUUCUUACAUGCUCACACACAUUCUCUCACAUACAAUCACACACACAGGCUCUCCCACACACACAUUCACAAUCCUCUUCCACACUCAGACUCUUUCUCACACACACUCGCACACAAGGCUCUCCCACACACGCAGGCUCACACACUCACAGGCUCUCCCACACACAAUCACACAUAUGUCCUCGCACACUUACAGGCUCUCACACAUACUCUUACAUGCUCACACACACAUUCUCACGCAUAAGAUCCUGCACACUCACAGGCUCACGCUCAUUCCCCACAUUCUCUUACACACUCACACACAUGCACGUUCACAUGCACACACAUCCCCACACACAUGCUCUCACACACCUUCACAUAUACACACUCAUUUCACACACAUACACACAUCCCCACACACAUGCUCUCACACACCUUCACAUAUACACACUCAUUUCACACGCAUACACACAACUUCACAUAUACACACUCAUUUCACAUGCUUGCACACACCCUCACACACAUGCUCUCACACACCUUCACAUAUACACACUCAUUUCACACACAUACACACACCCUCAUACGCAUGCUCUCACACUCACACGCACAUGCUCACAUUCAGUCUCACACACACAUCCACACAAUGCUCUCACAUGCUUACACAAAGCUCUUGCACACAUGCUCACACUCAUUCUCACACCCUACCCUCCACACUCAUUUUCACAACCAUUCUCAAACACAUAUUCUCACACUCACACAAAGGCUCACACACACGCUCACACUCAUUCUCACACACAUCCCAACCUCUACACCCACUUAUAUACAUUUGCUCUCACACUCACAAGCACUCCAUGAGAGAAUCAAAAUGGCACCCUGUGGCCAGACCACCCCCAGACGCACGGACCUCCUCCGCGGGACGCGCUGGUCGCAGGCGAAUUUCUACUUCCUGCUGCGGUUUCUUCAGGAAAGGGGACCUGGCUUGUGUUUCUUUUUUAGAGAUUCAUUUUAUUUGCAAAUCAGAGUUACUGAGCGUGAGAGAGCAGAAAGAGAUCUUUCACCCACUGGUUCACUCCCCAAAAUGGUCGCAAAAGCCAGGGCUGGGCCAGGCUGAAGCCUGGAGUCAGGAGGUUCAUCUGCGUCUCCUACGUGGGUGCAGGGGCCCAAGCACCUGGGCCGUCCUCCACUGCUUCCCCAGGUGCAUUAACAGGGAGCUGCAUCGGAGGUGGGGCAGCCGGGACCUGGACCACCAACAAUAUGGGACACCAUAA